RNAcentral lists this transfer RNA (4024 nucleotides) under Sepioloidea lineolata. Its description in RNAcentral is "tRNA-Glu". The record is from RNAcentral. Lineage: Eukaryota; Metazoa; Mollusca; Cephalopoda; Sepiida; Sepiadariidae.
UAUGUGCUACUUACACCAUAAAAAUUUAAUUAAAUAAUCAAUAUUAUACUUAACCCACGUUAUACCUAUUUAAUAUAAUAAAAUUUUUAGUCUUUAUCAAUCCUUUCGUACUAGAUAAAACAAAUUAACAAUUUAAAAGAUAGAAACCAACCUGGCUCGCGCCGGUCUGAACUCAGAUCAUGUAAAAUAUUAAAAAUCGAACAGAUUUACCGUAUAAAGCUUCUACACCUUAAGGUUAUUUUAAUCCAACAUCGAGGUCGCAAUCUCAUUUUUUAAUAAGAACUCUCUAAACAAAUUACGCUGUUAUCCCUAUGGUAACUUUUUUAUAAGCAAUAUACAUUGGUUACUUCAUAAAAACACAUUUAAGCUAAGGAAGUUACUUUUUAAAUAUUAUUCCUUAAUCACCCCAAUUAAAAUUCAUGUAUUACCUUACCUAAUACUUAAAAUUAAAGCUCAUUAGGGUCUUCUCGUCCCUUUAAAAAAUCCAAGCUUUUUCACUAUAAAAAUUAAUUUCUAAAAAAUAAUAUAGAGACAGGUUAACCUUCGUCAAACCAUUCAUUCUAGCCUCAAUUUAUAAGGCAAACUAUUAUGCUACCUUAGUACAGUUAAAAUACCGCAGCUGUUAAAUACAUCACCGAGCAGGUCUAACUCUCUAUUUAUAAUCUACAAAGAGACAUGUUUUUGAUAAACAGGCGAGAUUAAUACUUGCCGAAUUCCUUUAUAUUACUUAAUUAAAUUGUAAUAUUAAAUAUUUACAAAUAAAUAUUUAUAAAACCUUAUUACACUCAAAUACUCAUAUUAACAUUAUAACUAUUUAAUAAUAUUUAUAAAUAUUUAUAACAAUUUAUUUUCAACUUGAAAUUAAUUAUACUACUUAUACACUAUUAAUAUAUUUUUAAAGAAAAGCACUAUUAACCCUACUUAAAUUUUCAUACUUUAAAUAUUCUAUAAUCUACGUAAAGCUUACCCCUACACACUAAAUAAUAUUAAAUAAACAACUACUAUUAUAUUAAUAUUUCAACACUUAAAUGUUUUUAAGUAUAAACUAGCCAUCAUAAAAAUCGUUUAACAUUUCAUUACCAUUUAAUACUAAUUAUAUAACUUUACAACGUUAACAUAUAUUUAUUAAAUAAAUCCUUUUAUUUCGAGAUUUUAUUAUUAAUUAAAUUUAUAUCAUCAAUUCAUUAUGCUAAAGGUACGAAAUCAAACUUCUACUAUAACUUAUCUUUUUCAUAUUCCUUUACAGUACUUAAUUAAACAAUAAAUCUAAGCCAUUUAUACAUCACAUCAAAUAAUUUAAUUUAUUUUCCUUAACACAAUCUAUUAUUUUCUUUGUAACAAUUACUAUUAUUUUUAUUUACUUCUUUAUACCUUUAAACCAGGGACAGUUUCCACUACCCCUACUAUGUUACGACUUAUCUUAUUUUCCAACAAGAGCGACGGGCGAUAUGUACGCAUCAUAAAGCCUAAUUCAUAAUAACAUAUUAAUUUAUUAUUACUACCAAGUCCACCUUCAUAAACUAAUUACAUAAUUCAAUCCAUAUUUAAUAAUUAUAAAUUGUAGCUCAUUAUAACCUUUUCUAUAAGCUGCAUUUUGACUUGACAUCACAAUUAUUAUUAUUAUGUCUCUAAUUUUACAAAAUAAACUGACGACAGCAAUAUACAUACUGAUUACAUUUCAAAAAAAAGUAAGUAUAUAUUGAGGAUUAUCAAAUUAAUUAACAAGCUCCCCUGGAUGGAUUUACGACACCGCCAAGUCUUUUAAGUUUCAAACAUAUAAUACUUCAAGUAUUUUAUUUAUACUGCUUUAGUAAUCAAAAUUUUAACAUAAAGAAUAGUAGGGUAUCUAAUCCUAGUUUUCUUUCUUACCUUCAAAGAAUAACCCUAAGAGUAAUCAAAUCAAUAAUAAUAAUUAAAUUUUACUUACAAUAUACUAUUCUCAUCAACUCUUCUAUAAUCAACCUAUUACUUUAUUUUAUACUACAUAAUAUAGAUUUAAAGUAUUAGUAUAACCGCAGAUGCUGGCACCAAUUUAACCACUUUUAAUUACAUUAACUAUAUCAAACCUUCAUCCAUUAUAUAAAUAUAAAUACUGCGUAAUUUAUACACCUAUAUAUUAAUAAAAUAUUAAUAUAAAGCCCUUACUCAAAAUAUAUUAAACAUUCUAACAUAGAACUAUUUUAAAUAAAACGAUUUAUAAUAUAAACCUAACAUGUAUAAUCUAAUUGUAACCUAUAUAUUAACCAAAACCAAAUCACUUAUAUAAGAAAUGAUCCAUCAUAUAUGAUUUCGACUCAUAAAUAGGUAUUUAUAUACCCUUAUAUUUUAAAUUAUAAGAAUUACAACCACAAAAACAAGUAUAUAACAAUUAAUUAACAAAAUUAGUCAAUGUUCCAUUAUAUAAAAAAAAACCUUAUUUAAACCAAAAAUUCCUUGACCUCCUAAAAUUUCAAAUCAUCCCAUAUCCACUACUUUUAACCUAAAAUUAGUUAUAGAGCUGAAAUACCCUAAAAGCGGUCUGCAUAGAAAUAUUGACAAAAAUCAUAUUCUACUAUUUAUAUAAUUUAACAAACCACCUCUAAAUUUUACAUAACCCCUAUCCCAACAACUUAUAGAUAUAAACAACCUAAUAAUAAUUAAAAAAAAAACAAUAAUUUUAAGCAUAAAAGGAAGAUAAAAAUUCUCACCAAAUAUCCUAAACAAUUUACUAAAUAAAUACCCCCCUCACACGGCUCCUAUUGCUAAUAUAGAUAUAGGAAUUAAUAUCAUUAUAUCUUCAUCCUUUAUAUUAUGAUAACUUUCAGAACUUCUGCUUCCUCAAACAAUAAAUAAUAAAAAUCGUAUUCUAUACAAUACAGUUAAACAAACUCUAAUAACACCCAAAAAUACAAUAAAAAUAUUUAUAUUACCAAUCAUUAAACCCUCAAUAAUUAAAUCUUUUGAAUAAAAACCUGCUAAGAAAGGCAAUCCACAUAAAGCUAUAUUAGAAAUAUUUAAAAAAACAGAAGUUACGGGCAAUAAUUUAGAUACAUUAUUAAUCUGACGCAUAUCCUGCUUUCCUCUAUAACAAUGAAUAAUAUUACCACCGCACAUAAAUAAUAAAGCCUUAAACAUCGCAUGAGUAUAUAAAUGAAACAAAGCUAGCAUUGGUAAACCUAACCUUAACGAUAUUAUUAUUACACCUAAUUGACUUAAAGUCGACAAAGCAAUGAUUUUCUUUAUAUCAUACUCAUAUAAAGCACAAAUACCUGAUAUAAUAGUUGUUAUAAUAGACAUAUAAAUCAUAAAUGUAUUAAAUCAAUAAUAAUAAUUCAAAUAAUUAAAAAAACGAACAAACAAAAAUACCCCAGCUGUAACUAAAGUAGAAGAAUGAACUAAAGUAGAAACUGGAGUAGGAGCAGCUAUUGCUGCUGGUAAUCAACUCCUAAAAGGUAUUUGAGCUCUUUUAGUUAUCCCAGCAAUUAUAAUAAAAAAAUUUACUACUUCAAAACCAGCAAAAUUCCAUAUACAUAGUAUAUUUCAAUGCCCAAUCACAAUCAAAAUUGAAAUAGCUCCCAAAAUAAAACAAUCCCCAACCCGAUUUAUUAAAACAGUCAAUAUUCCGGCAGCCAAAGACUUAUUAUUUUGAUAGUAAAUUACUAAACAAAAAGAAACUAACCCUAACCCAUCUCAACCUAAUAAUAAAGAAACUAAUCUAGGAAUAAAAAUUAAAAAAUUUAUAGACAAAACAAAUAAUAUAACCACUAACACAAACCGAUAUAAAUACCGAUCCCCCUUCAUAUAACUCAUCGUAAAAAUUAUAACACAGGAAGAAAUAAAACAAACCAAUCCUCUAAACCUACAACUUAUUCAAUCAAUCACAAAAUCAAAUUCAAUAAUUACACUUACACAAUUUAUUAACUCCCACCUAAAAAAUAAACAAAUAUUAUUUAAAUAACUAUAAACUGUCACUAUUAUUAUAAACAAAAACCAACUAAAUAAUAUCACCCUACAAAAUAAUUCUAUUCCUAUAAAUAUUAACAUA